This 72-nucleotide transfer RNA is filed under the name Turnera subulata. Its description in RNAcentral is "tRNA-Gly". The record is from RNAcentral. Lineage: Eukaryota; Viridiplantae; Streptophyta; Magnoliopsida; Malpighiales; Passifloraceae.
GGGGGUGGUGGCCCAGUGGUGAAGCCUUUAGCCUGCCAUCCUAGGACUCGGGUUUGAGUCCCGGCGCUUCCA